CGUGUAGGCGGUCCGCAAAGUCAGAUGUGAAAGCCCUUGGCUUAACCAAGGAACUGCAUUUGAUACUGGCGGGCUAGAGUACGGGAGAGGGAGGUGGAAUUCCUGGUGUAGCGGUGAAAUGCGUAGAUAUCAGGAGGAACACCGGUGGCGAAGGCGGCCUCCUGGACCGAUACUGACGCUGAGACGCGAAAGCGUGGGUAGCAAACAGGAUUAGAUACCCUGGUAGUCCACGCUGUAAACGAUGGGCACUAGGUGUUCGGGGUAUCCACUCCUCGAGUGCCGCAGCUAACGCAUUAAGUGCCCCGCCUGGGGACUACGGCCGCAAGGUUAAA
Molecule: ribosomal RNA, 332 nt
Filed under: uncultured Pseudomonadota bacterium
Lineage: Bacteria; Pseudomonadati; Pseudomonadota
Description: bacterial SSU rRNA
Rfam family: Bacterial small subunit ribosomal RNA
Source: RNAcentral